Molecule: long non-coding RNA, 530 nt
Organism: Daphnia carinata
Lineage: Eukaryota; Metazoa; Arthropoda; Branchiopoda; Diplostraca; Daphniidae
Exons: 3
Source: RefSeq, a predicted model, not a curated record
AUUCGCAGUUAGUUCAGUAACGUGGAUGGAGAAUAACGCGUGGCUGGAGGAACAAUUGAAAAAUGGAUAAGAUAAUACAACAAAAGGAUGAUCAAAUUAUGAAGCUGUAGGCCCAAUUAUUGGAACAACCCAAAAUAUUAGAUAACAGCAAAGCUAAGGAUGGUAAGGCCUAAUAUGUAAUGAUUCUAUUUAUUUGCUUUUAUUCAUUUGUGUUUUGUAGCUCAAAUUUUGAGUCUACAAGCUCAGCUAGGGGAAAAGAACAAAUUGGAACGGAACAGUUUCCAAACAGUGAAGGAGGUUUUUCAAAACUCUUCCCUAACUGAACGUGAGGAUGAAUUGGCAUUAGGCGAACACAGUCAGUUAUUCAGUCUACCACCUGACAGUGUGUUAAAGUUAAAUUCUGUUAGUGCUGCAGUAAAAGAAUUGUUAGUAAUAAGUCCAUGCAGCGAAGGAAAUGAACAAUUGUGGGACCGUAUUUGGGCUGAAAAUGGGUGUGGUACGGAAACCCAGAAAUAGCAUGAGUUCAACAU